AUAUCAUAGCGGAGGAAAGAAACCAACAGGGAUUGCCCUAGUAACGGCGAGUGAAGCGGCAACAGCUCAAAUUUGAAAUCUGGCGUCUUUGGCGUCCGAGUUGUAAUUUGCAGAGGGCGCUUUGGCAUUGGCAGCGGUCCAAGUUCCUUGGAACAGGACGUCACAGAGGGUGAGAAUCCCGUACGUGGUCGCUAGCCUUUACCGUGUAAAGCCCCUUCGACGAGUCGAGUUGUUUGGGAAUGCAGCUCUAAAUGGGAGGUAAAUUUCUUCUAAAGCUAAAUACUGGCCAGAGACCGAUAGCGCACAAGUAGAGUGAUCGAAAGAUGAAAAGCACUUUGGAAAGAGAGUUAAAAAGCACGUGAAAUUGUUGAAAGGGAAGCGCUUGCAGCCAGACUUGCCUGUAGUUGCUCAUCCGGGUUUUUACCCGGUGCACUCUUCUAUAGGCAGGCCAGCAUCAGUUUGGGCGGUUGGAUAAAGGUCUCUGUCAUGUAACUCUCUUCGGGGAGAACUUAUAGGGGAGACGACAUGCAACCAGCCUGGACUGAGGUCCGCGCAUCUGCUAGGAUGCUGGCGUAAUGGCUGUAAGCGGCCCGUCUUGAAACACGGACCAAGGAGUCUAACAUCUAUGCGAGUGUUUGGGUGUCAAGCCCGAGCGCGUAAUGAAAGUGAACGGAGGUGGGAACCUUUCGGGGUGCACCAUCGACCGAUCCUGAUGUCUUCGGAUGGAUUUGAGUAAGAGCAUAGCUGUUGGGACCCGAAAGAUGGUGAACUAUGCUUGAAUAGGGUGAAGCCAGAGGAAACUCUGGUGGAGGCUCGCAGCGGUUCUGACGUGCAAAUCGAUCGUCAAAUUUGGGCAUAGGGGCGAAAGACUAAUCGAACAUCU
RNAcentral lists this ribosomal RNA (883 nucleotides) under Neomicrosphaeropsis juglandis. RNAcentral's name for it is "partial large subunit ribosomal RNA". It matches the Rfam family "Eukaryotic large subunit ribosomal RNA", at positions 40 to 945 of the family's 3401-position model. The record is from RNAcentral. Lineage: Eukaryota; Fungi; Ascomycota; Dothideomycetes; Pleosporales; Didymellaceae.